GAGGGGAUAGUGCAUUUAGCCUCCCGAUGAAGCAGGAACCCGCCGAGAUGAUUCAGACUUCGGUCUGAACGUGGUAGGAAUCCUUGCCCUUUAGGGCGGGGAGGAUGUCAAAUUAUAUACAAAU
Molecule: unclassified non-coding RNA, 124 nt
Filed under: Wolbachia pipientis wAlbB
Lineage: Bacteria; Pseudomonadati; Pseudomonadota; Alphaproteobacteria; Rickettsiales; Anaplasmataceae
Description: HgcC
Source: RNAcentral